UACGUAGGGUGCGAGCGUUAAUCGGAAUUACUGGGCGUAAAGCGUGCGCAGGCGGUUCGUUGUGUCGGCGGUGAAAGCCCCGGGCUUAACCUGGGAACGGCCGUUGAAACUGGCGAACUGGAGUGUGGCAGAGGGGGGUGGAAUUCCGCGUGUAGCAGUGAAAUGCGUAGAGAUGUGGAGGAACACCGAUGGCGAAGGCAGCCCCCUGGGUUAACACUGACGCUCAGGCACGAAAGCGUGGGGAGCAAACAGG
This 253-nucleotide ribosomal RNA is filed under the name uncultured bacterium. RNAcentral's name for it is "partial 16S ribosomal RNA". It matches the Rfam family "Bacterial small subunit ribosomal RNA", at positions 524 to 776 of the family's 1533-position model. The record is from RNAcentral.